This 104-nucleotide small nuclear RNA is filed under the name Ochotona princeps (American pika). Lineage: Eukaryota; Metazoa; Chordata; Mammalia; Lagomorpha; Ochotonidae. The record is from RNAcentral.
GUGCUCGCUUUGGCAACACAUAUGCUAAAAUUGGAACGAUACAGAGAUUAGCAUGGCCCCUGCGCAAGGAUGACACGCAAAUUCAUAAAGUGUUCCAUAUUUUU